RNAcentral lists this unclassified non-coding RNA (253 nucleotides) under Candidatus Kaiserbacteria bacterium. RNAcentral describes it as "contains 16S-23S intergenic spacer region". It matches the Rfam family "Bacterial small subunit ribosomal RNA", at positions 524 to 776 of the family's 1533-position model. The record is from RNAcentral. Lineage: Bacteria; Candidatus Kaiseribacteriota.
UACAGAAGCCCCAAGCGUUACCCGGAUUUACUGGGCGUAAAGGGUGCGUAGGCGGUCAUGUUAGUCAGGUGUCAAAUCCUGGGGCUCAACCCCAGGCUCGCAUUUGAAACGGCAUGACUUGGAGAAGUGAGAGGUACACAGAACUCACGGUGUAGGGGUGAAAUCCGUUGAUAUCGUGGGGAAUACCAAAUGCGAAGGCAGUGUACUGGCACUUUCUCGACGCUGAGGCACGAAAGCGUGGGUAGCGAACGGG